CACGUAGGUGAUCUGCCCUUGUAGUUGGGGAUAGCCUGUGGAAACACAGGGUAAUACCGAAUAAUCUUACAGAUUUUGUUUUGUAAGGAAAGGAGCUACGGCUUCGCUAUAGGAUGAGCCUGCGGCCAAUUAGUUAGUUGGUGGGGUAAUGGCCUACCAAGACGAUGAUAGGUAGCCGGCCUGAGAGGGUGAACGGCCACACUGGGACUGAGAUACGGCCCAGACUCCUACGGGAGGCAGCAGCUAAGAAUCUUCCGCAAUGGACGAAAGUCUGACGGAGCGACGCCGCGUGGAUGAUGAAUGCCGAGAGUUGUAAAAUCCUUUUAUGUAGGGAAGAAUAAUGAUAUCAGGUAAUGGGUA
RNAcentral lists this ribosomal RNA (360 nucleotides) under uncultured Spirochaetota bacterium. Its description in RNAcentral is "bacterial SSU rRNA". It matches the Rfam family "Bacterial small subunit ribosomal RNA", at positions 114 to 471 of the family's 1533-position model. The record is from RNAcentral. Lineage: Bacteria; Pseudomonadati; Spirochaetota.